This 1174-nucleotide long non-coding RNA is filed under the name Chinchilla lanigera (long-tailed chinchilla). RNAcentral's name for it is "lncRNA (ENSCLAG00000026448.1)". The record is from RNAcentral. Lineage: Eukaryota; Metazoa; Chordata; Mammalia; Rodentia; Chinchillidae.
ACUCCUAGGCCAGCACAUCGACAUGACCCACUCUUUGGGAACAUCUACUCAUCCUGGAUGAAUAAAUUCUGAGUAGUUUUUCCUUCUUUUUUAGGCUUUCUUUUCUCCUGUGCCUUUUUCCUCGCAGAUCAUUGGAUUGUUAGUUGUUAGUAUUUCAUCUCUGUUAGUCUGGAAACUAACACACUGGGGACAGAGAGAUUGCAGUAGGCUCCAUGGUAAGAUGAAGUUACUGAUAAUCUGCGUUCAAGCCAAUGGGAUUGUCAAAACUCAGGUAACUUCGAACAGGAUGCCUAGUCUAAAGGCACAGGUAUGUACCUGUGAUUAAAGGAGGUAUGCUGUUUCAGAACUCACACCCCUGCAGUUGUCUCUACUGCUUCCUGAUGGUUGUCUUUCAUACAACUUGUCUCAUUUUCUUUUUCAGGGUUGCUAUUUCCUGCUCUUUUCAGAUACAGUUUUGGCAGAGAGAUGGAGAAUCUGCUUGUCCACAUCAUAUCCUUGGGGGUCAGUUAAUUCCAUGCUAUAGGAAGAAAUCUGUCAGACCCGCAUGUGUAAGCAACGUAUUGUCUCUCUAGUGCAAGAACCUGAAAGAGUGAAUAAAAAUUAGGAGGUAUGUCAGACACUGUGAAAUGAAAGGAAACUGCUCAAAAGUAAAGAGCAACUGGGAUGAGGGAAAAGAGAAAAGAAAGAAGGGGAAAAUUAAGUAUAUAUAGGAAAGCUAACAUAGUUGUACUACUGACAGAAUUCUAUCACUUUAAUGAAAGGAACAGUUAAUGAUUAAUUAUUUCAUCAAUCUUGCAUGUCUCUAUUUGUUUUCCUGAGUAACCACUUUGAAGAUAUCAAUGUGUAAUACAACAACCAUUGUUAAUUUCCUAUCACCUUGUCUGAAAUUCAAUAUUCCUUGUAUUGUUCUUGUGUUAUUUUGUAAAUGGAUGUGUGUUUGUUAAUAUGUUUUUGUUCAUUUAUUUUUAAAAUAAAAUAAAAAAAUAAGUAUAACUAUUUAAAAAAAUGAAAGAAAUCUGGAAUAGAGAAAAGUAUUAUAAAUUGCUCAUUUUAUGAAACAAACACAACUCUGAUAUCAAAUAAAUACACCAAAGAUGCUAUAGACUAAUCUCAUUUAUUGUUAUCUAUAUGAAAAAUCAUAAGUAAAGAAGAAUAACAGAAUUUAAUAGCAUAU